Molecule: ribosomal RNA, 214 nt
Filed under: uncultured bacterium
Lineage: Bacteria
Description: partial 16S ribosomal RNA
Rfam family: Bacterial small subunit ribosomal RNA
Source: RNAcentral
UACGUAGGGUCCGAGCGUUAAUCGGAAUUACUGGGCGUAAAGCGUGCGCAGGCGGUUCGCAAAGACAGGUGUGAAAUCCCCGGGCUUAACCUGGGAACUGCGCUUGUAACUAGCGGGCUAGAGUGCGGCAGAGGGGGUGGAAUUCCACGUGUAGCAGUGAAAUGCGUAGAUAUGUGGAGGAACACCGAUGGCGAAGGCAGCCCCCUGGGUCGAC